Molecule: long non-coding RNA, 2086 nt
Filed under: Homo sapiens (human)
Lineage: Eukaryota; Metazoa; Chordata; Mammalia; Primates; Hominidae
Description: HSALNT0069547
Source: RNAcentral
CAGCGCAACAUACCUGCUAGAUGUUACAAUAACCCAAGUCUAUGAUGAUGACCUGAGUCAUUCAUAGAAGAUAUACCCAUUAAGGACAUCAUCUUCAUAAAACUAGUUAUAUGCAACACGUCCUAUGUCAAAAUGUUUCUCAACAUGUGUUAACCUAUCAAACACACUCUCAACUAAUCUCCACCCAGGUCAGGAAAAUGUGGUUGAGUGUCACUUCCUGAGUCUGGCUGGUACUGCAAAUAUAAAUUCAACGUUUUUUCAAACACAUCUCACCCCCAGACCUGCCAUUGGCAUGCACAUCUUUAACCACAAACCACGAUUGAAAAUGAGAAAGAAAACUCUCCUCUAGCUGGGCGCUUCAUAGGACUAGCCAGGCAUGCUUAUCAAAUACUUCAUCAGUUGGAAAUUCAACAAAAUAAAGUAUGUGUGCAGCUACAUCUGACGUUGAUUCUUUAUCUCAUUCAAAACCACACAGUGCUGACAGCAACAUCCUUCCUCUCAGCAUUCAUGCUUCUGCUACCACCCAGGGGCACUGAGUUCACAGCCAGCUCACAGAAGGGCCAUGAGUGUUGACGAACACUUGGAUUCAUGCAAUCACCACCACAAUCAAGACACAGAGCAGCUCCAUCGCUCCCAAAAUUUUUCUCAGUGUCACUUUGCAGUCAGCGCCUCCUUCUAGUCCUGAUCAUUCUCAACCCCCACAAUCACUGGUCUGCUCUCCGCUACUAUAGUUCUGCCUUCUCGAGGAUGUCAUAUAAAUAGAAUCAUACAGUUGGUGGCCUUUUGGUGCGGCAGCUCUCACAUUUGGGUUUCAUCCAUAUUGCUGCAUAUAUCAAGGUAGUUACCUUUAUUGCUGAGUAGUAUUCCAUGGUGUAGAUUUACCAGUUAGUUUAUUCCUUCACCAUCUGAAGGACAUGUGAAUUGGUAAACAUGGCUUUUACUUGUUGAAUGAUACUCCAUUCUACAAAUAUUCUAAAACCCAUGUAAAUAGUUCUGAUAUGGUUUGGCUCUGUAUCCCCACCUAAAUUUCAUAUUGAAUUGUGAUCCCCAGUGUUGAAGGUGGGGUCUGGUGGGAGGUGAUUGGAUCACGGAGGUGGUUUCGGAUGGUUUAGCACCAUCACCUAGUGCUGUCUCAUGACAGAGUUCUCACGAGAUCUGGUGGUUUGAAAGCAUGUAGCACCUCCCCCUUCACUCCCUUCCUCCUUCUCUGGCCAUGUAAGACAUGACUGCUUCCCUUUUGCCUUCCAUGAUGAUCGUAAGUUUCCUGAGGCCUCCCCAGCCAUGCUUCCUGUAAGCCUGUGGAACAGAGAGGUGAAGCCAGCUGGACUUCCUAGGUCGAGAGGGGACUUGGAGAGCUUUUCUGUCUAGCUAAAGGAUUGUAAAUGCACCGAUCAGCACUCUGUGUCUAGCUAAAGGAUUGUAAAUGCACCAGUCAGCACUCUGUAAAAACACACCAGUCAGCACUCUGUGUCCAGCUAAAGGAUUGUAAACGCACCAAUCAGCACUCUGUGUCUAGCUAAAGGAUUGUAAAUGCACCAGUCAGCACUCUGUAAAAACACACCAGUCAGCACUCUGUGUCCGGCUAAAGGAUAGUAAACACACCAAUCAGCACUCUGUGUCUAGCUAAAGGAUUGUAAAUGCAUCAAUCAGCACUCUGUAAAAUGGACCAAUCAGCGCUCUGUAAAAUGGACCAAUCAGCAGGAUGUGGGUGGGACCAAAUAAGGGAAUAAAAGCUGGCCACCGAGCCAGCAGUGGCAACCAGCUUGGGUCCCCUUCCACAUUGUGGAAGCUUUGUUUUUUCGCUCUUCACAAUAAAUCUUGCUGCUGCUCACUCUUUGGGUCCGCACUACCUUUAAUAGCUGUAACACUUGCCGCGAAGGUCCGCAGCUUCAUUCUUGAAGUCAGCGAGACCACGAACCCACCAGAAGGAAGAAACUCCAGACACAUCUGAAGGAACAAACUCUGAACACACCAUCUUUAAGAGCUGUAACACUCACUGCAAAAGUCCAUGGCUUCAUUCUUGAAGUCAGCAAGACCAAAAACCCAGAGGUUGUCACAAUUUUGUCACAAUUCUGGACACAGAACU